AAAGUCGUAACAAGGUUUCCGUAGGUGAACCUGCGGAAGGAUCAUUACCGUGCCCGGCGCGGCGGCCACCCCACCCGGGGUGCGUCGCCCCCGCGUGCCCACCCGUGUCUACCUAACCCGUUGCUUCGGCGGUGCGUGACCGGACCCCCUUAUCGGGGCCGGCCCGCCGCCGGAGACCCCCCGUCGAACAUCUGAUCUGAAGAAAGAUGCUGUCUGAGUUGAUAUUGAUAAACAUUUAAAACUUUCAACAACGGAUCUCUUGGUUCCG
Molecule: unclassified non-coding RNA, 268 nt
Filed under: Ascomycota sp.
Lineage: Eukaryota; Fungi; Ascomycota
Description: partial contains small subunit ribosomal RNA, internal transcribed spacer 1, and 5.8S ribosomal RNA
Rfam family: Eukaryotic small subunit ribosomal RNA (bases 1-47)
Source: RNAcentral